This 253-nucleotide ribosomal RNA is filed under the name uncultured bacterium. RNAcentral describes it as "partial 16S ribosomal RNA". It matches the Rfam family "Bacterial small subunit ribosomal RNA", at positions 524 to 776 of the family's 1533-position model. The record is from RNAcentral.
UACAGAGGGGGCAAGCGUUAUUCGGAAUUAUUGGGCGUAAAGGGCGCGUAGGCGGCAUGGCAAGUGGAUGGUGAAAUCCCUCGGCUUAACCGAGGAACUGCCGUCCAAACUGCUUCGCUUGAGACCGGGAGAGGUGAGUGGAAUUCCCAGUGUAGCGGUGAAAUUCGUAGAUAUUCGGAAGAACACCAGUGGCGAAGGCGGCUCACUGGCCCGGUACUGACGCUGAGAUACGAAAGCGUGGGGAGCAAACAGG